This is a long non-coding RNA of Benincasa hispida (wax gourd), 855 nucleotides long. RefSeq lists it as uncharacterized. The record is from RefSeq and is a predicted model, not a curated record. Lineage: Eukaryota; Viridiplantae; Streptophyta; Magnoliopsida; Cucurbitales; Cucurbitaceae.
GAAACUAAAUAUGGAAUAAAAUACCUCUUAUUUUAUUAGAUAAAUAAAAUGUUUGUACAAGUACAAUUACAAAUUACAUGACCACGAGAUUUAGGAUAUCAACCCCAACACCCACUUGCUCAAUGUUUUUACAUUCAUACAAGGGUGGUUACGAUUCGAACGAUUUUGCUUAAAGAGGUACGCUUUCUCUCCAUUCUUUUAUAAUAAAUAAGAUAUUCAUUAACGUGGUUUAUUAAUUUUGUUAGAUAACAUCUCUGGUCUGCCUCCAUGUAUUCUUGGUGUUUUAACCUCUACUCACUCAGAACCUAAUCAAAAGGACCCAAAAUAAUUAUACAUUCCCACAUUUCAUUCCUAAUUAGUUUGAGUUGGGUGAAUGUGCUUGACCUGAAGAAGAAAAGCACCGAACGUUCUUAAGCAGAAAUCUUGGAAGAGUCUUUUUUGUGUCUUCAAGGGUCUUCUGCCUUCUAGGAGUGGAGUCUUGGAAGUCUUCUGCUUGUUGAUGAAUUCUCUGGACUCUCUGAAUAUAGAAAAUGCUUGUAUCUUCAAAGGACUUCAGUCUUCAGAAUGCUUGCAUCUUCAAAGGACUUCCCGUCUUCUGAUUAUAGAGAAUUCCCUAUAAGCUCUCUGGAGUAUAGAAUUGCUGACCCCUCCAAAUGAGGAGAACUUAUCAAUUUAUAGAGUUCACAGGUGGGCUUGGGUUUGGUUGAUCCAUAGGCCUGACCUUUAGGCUCAAUUAGUUGGACUUGGGCUUGGUUGGUCCAUGGGGUUGGCCUUUGAGCCCAAUUAAUCAGAUUUAGGCCUGAUUUGACAUUUGCAUCAAAUUCAGCCUAUUUUUGGACUUAGUUGGACUUUGAC